AAAACUUUCAACAACGGAUCUCUUGGUUCUGGCAUCGAUGAAGAACGCAGCGAAAUGCGAUAAGUAAUGUGAAUUGCAGAAUUCAGUGAAUCAUCGAAUCUUUGAACGCACAUUGCGCCCCUUGGUAUUCCGAGGGGCAUGCCUGUUCGAGCGUCAUUUCA
RNAcentral lists this ribosomal RNA (161 nucleotides) under Elsinoe banksiae. Its description in RNAcentral is "5.8S ribosomal RNA". It matches the Rfam family "5.8S ribosomal RNA". Rfam says of the family: 5.8S ribosomal RNA (5.8S rRNA) is a component of the large subunit of the eukaryotic ribosome. It is transcribed by RNA polymerase I as part of the 45S precursor that also contains 18S and 28S rRNA. Lineage: Eukaryota; Fungi; Ascomycota; Dothideomycetes; Myriangiales; Elsinoaceae. The record is from RNAcentral.